This 526-nucleotide ribosomal RNA is filed under the name uncultured bacterium. RNAcentral describes it as "bacterial SSU rRNA". It matches the Rfam family "Bacterial small subunit ribosomal RNA", at positions 355 to 899 of the family's 1533-position model. The record is from RNAcentral.
UGGGGAAUCUUGGACAAUGGGGGCAACCCUGAUCCAGCCAUGCCGCGUGAGUGAUGAAGGCCUUAGGGUCGUAAAGCUCUUUCGCCUGUGAAGAUAAUGACGGUAGCAGGUAAAGAAACCCCGGCUAACUCCGUGCCAGCAGCCGCGGUAAUACGGAGGGGGUUAGCGUUGUUCGGAAUUACUGGGCGUAAAGCGCACGUAGGCGGAUCGGAAAGUUGGGGGUGAAAUCCCGGGGGCUCAACCCCGGAACUGCCUCCAAAACUAUCGGUCUAGAGUUCGAGAGAGGUGAGUGGAAUUCCGAGUGUAGAGGUGAAAUUCGUAGAUAUUCGGAGGAACACCAGUGGCGAAGGCGGCUCACUGGCUCGAUACUGACGCUGAGGUGCGAAAGUGUGGGGAGCAAACAGGAUUAGAUACCCUGGUAGUCCACACCGUAAACGAUGAAUGCCAGUCGUCGGGUAGCAUGCUAUUCGGUGACACACCUAACGGAUUAAGCAUUCCGCCUGGGGAGUACGGUCGCAGAUUAAAA